This 264-nucleotide ribosomal RNA is filed under the name uncultured bacterium. RNAcentral describes it as "partial small subunit ribosomal RNA". It matches the Rfam family "Bacterial small subunit ribosomal RNA", at positions 26 to 288 of the family's 1533-position model. The record is from RNAcentral.
AGAGCGAACGCUGGCGGCGUGCUUAACACAUGCAAGUCGAGUGCGCGCCUGUAGCAAUACAGGUGGCGCACGGCGCACGGGUGCGUAACACGUGGGCAAUCUGCCCUUCGAUGGGGAAUAACCCCGGGAAACCGGGGCUAAUUCCGCAUAAUAUUCCGAUGACUAACGUCAAUGGAUUCAAAGCCGUAAGGCGUCGAAGGAGGAGCCCGCGCACGAUUAGCUAGUUGGUGAGGUAACGGCUCACCAAGGCUAUGAUCGUUAGCU